RNAcentral lists this ribosomal RNA (478 nucleotides) under uncultured organism. RNAcentral describes it as "partial 16S ribosomal RNA". It matches the Rfam family "Bacterial small subunit ribosomal RNA", at positions 331 to 800 of the family's 1533-position model. The record is from RNAcentral.
GUACACUCCUACGGGAGGCAGCAGUGGGGAAUUUUGGACAAUGGGGGCAACCCUGAUCCAGCAAUGCCGCGUGAGUGAAGAAGGCCUUCGGGUUGUAAAGCUCUUUUGUCAGGGAAGAAACGGUGGUGGCGAAUAACUACUACUAAUGACGGUACCUGAAGAAUAAGCACCGGCUAACUACGUGCCAGCAGCCGCGGUAAUACGUAGGGUGCAAGCGUUAAUCGGAAUUACUGGGCGUAAAGCGUGCGCAGGCGGUUGUGUAAGUCAGAUGUGAAAUCCCCGGGCUCAACCUGGGAAUUGCAUUUGAGACUGCACGGCUAGAGUGUGUCAGAGGGGGGUAGAAUUCCACGUGUAGCAGUGAAAUGCGUAGAUAUGUGGAGGAAUACCGAUGGCGAAGGCAGCCCCCUGGGAUAACACUGACGCUCAUGCACGAAAGCGUGGGGAGCAAACAGGAUUAGAAACCCGGGUAGUCCCAUGA